UGGGGAAUAUUGCACAAUGGGCGCAAGCCUGAUGCAGCCAUGCCGCGUGUAUGAAGAAGGCCUUUGGGUUGUAAAGUACUUUCCGCGGGGAGGAAGGGAGUAACGUUAAUACCUUUGCUCAUUGACGCUACCCGCAGAAGAACCACCGGCUAACUACGUGCCAGCAGCCGCGGUAAUACGUAGGUGGCAAGCGUUGUCCGGAUUUAUUGGGCGUAAAGCGUGCGCAGGCGGUUUCUUAAGUCUGAUGUGAAAGCCCCCGGCUCAACUGGGGAGGGUCAGUGGAAACUAGGAGGCUAGAGUGCAGAAGAGGAGGGUGGAAUUCCAUGUGUAGCGGUGAAAUGCGUAGAUAUAUGGAAGAACACCAGUGGCGAAGGCGGCUCGCUGGGCUGUAACUGACGCUGAGGGUCGAAAGCGUGGGGAGCAAACGGG
This 429-nucleotide ribosomal RNA is filed under the name Chloroflexota bacterium. RNAcentral describes it as "Chloroflexi bacterium partial 16S ribosomal RNA". It matches the Rfam family "Bacterial small subunit ribosomal RNA", at positions 355 to 776 of the family's 1533-position model. The record is from RNAcentral. Lineage: Bacteria; Bacillati; Chloroflexota.